GAUGAACGCUGGCGGCGUGCCUAAUACAUGCAAGUCGAGCGAGCAGAUGAGGAGCUUGCUCCUCUGACGUUAGCGGCGGACGGGUGAGUAACACGUGGAUAACCUACCUAUAAGACUGGGAUAACUUCGGGAAACCGGAGCUAAUACCGGAUAUUAUAUUGAACCGCAUGGUUCAAUAGUGAAAGACGGUUUUGCUGUCACUUAUAGAUGGAUCCGCGCCGCAUUAGCUAGUUGGUAAGGUAACGGCUUACCAAGGCAACGAUGCGUAGCCGACCUGAGAGGGUGAUCGGCCACACUGGAACUGAGACACGGUCCAGACUCCUACGGGAGGCAGCAGUAGGGAAUCUUCCGCAAUGGGCGAAAGCCUGACGGAGCAACGCCGCGUGAGUGAUGAAGGUCUUCGGAUCGUAAAACUCUGUUAUUAGGGAAGAACAAAUGUGUAAGUAACUAUGCACGUCUUGACGGUACCUAAUCAGAAAGCCACGGCUAACUACGUG
RNAcentral lists this ribosomal RNA (497 nucleotides) under uncultured bacterium. RNAcentral describes it as "partial 16S ribosomal RNA". It matches the Rfam family "Bacterial small subunit ribosomal RNA", at positions 28 to 507 of the family's 1533-position model. The record is from RNAcentral.